GACGAACGCUGGCGGCGUGCUUAACACAUGCAAGUCUAACGGAAAGGCCCUGCUUUUGUGGGGUGCUCGAGUGGCGAACGGGUGAGUAACACGUGAGUAACCUGCCCUUGACUUUGGGAUAACUUCAGGAAACUGGGGCUAAUACCGGAUAGGAGCUCCUGCUGCAUGGUGGGGGUUGGAAAGUUUCGGCGGUUGGGGAUGGACUCGCGGCUUAUCAGCUUGUUGGUGGGGUAGUGGCUUACCAAGGCUUUGACGGGUAGCCGGCCUGAGAGGGUGACCGGCCACAUUGGGACUGAGAUACGGCCCAGACUCCUACGGGAGGCAGCAGUGGGGAAUAUUGCACAAUGGGCGGAAGCCUGAUGCAGCAACGCCGCGUGCGGGAUGACGGCCUUCGGGUUGUAAACCGCUUUCGCCUGUGACGAAGCGUGAGUGACGGUAAUGGGUAAAGAAGCACCGGCUAACUACGUGCCAGCAGCCGCGGUGAUACGUAGGGUGCGAGCGUUGUCCGGAUUUAUUGGGCGUAAAGGGCUCGUAGGUGGUUGAUCGCGUCGGAAGUGUAAUCUUGGGGCUUAACCCUGAGCGUGCUUUCGAUACGGGUUGACUUGAGGAAGGUAGGGGAGAAUGGAAUUCCUGGUGGAGCGGUGGAAUGCGCAGAUAUCAGGAGGAACACCAGUGGCGAAGGCGGUUCUCUGGGCCUUUCCUGACGCUGAGGAGCGAAAGCGUGGGGAGCGAACAGGCUUAGAUACCCUGGUAGUCCACGCUGUAAACGGUGGGUACUAGGUGUGGGGUCCAUUCCACGGGUUCCGUGCCGUAGCUAACGCUUUAAGUACCCCGCCUGGGGAGUACGGCCGCAAGGCUAAAACUCAAAGGAAUUGACGGGGCCCCGCACAAGCGGCGGAGCAUGCGGAUUAAUUCGAUGCAACGCGUAGAACCUUACCUGGGUUUGACAUGGAUCGGGAGUGCUCAGAGAUGGGUGUGCCUCUUUUGGGGUCGGUUCACAGGUGGUGCAUGGCUGUCGUCAGCUCGUGUCGUGAGAUGUUGGGUUAAGUCCCGCAACGAGCGCAACCCUUGUUCACUGUUGCCAGCACGUUAUGGUGGGGACUCAGUGGAGACCGCCGGGGUCAACUCGGAGGAAGGUGGGGAUGACGUCAAGUCAUCAUGCCCCUUAUGUCCAGGGCUUCACGCAUGCUACAAUGGCUGGUACAGAGAGUGGCGAGCCUGUGAGGGUGAGCGAAUCUCGGAAAGUCGGUCUCAGUUCGGAUUGGGGUCUGCAACUCGACCUCAUGAAGUCGGAGUCGCUAGUAAUCGCAGAUCAGCAACGCUGCGGUGAAUACGUUCCCGGG
This 1343-nucleotide ribosomal RNA is filed under the name uncultured bacterium. Its description in RNAcentral is "16S ribosomal RNA". It matches the Rfam family "Bacterial small subunit ribosomal RNA", at positions 28 to 1378 of the family's 1533-position model. The record is from RNAcentral.